Molecule: unclassified non-coding RNA, 240 nt
Filed under: soil metagenome
Description: partial contains 5.8S ribosomal RNA, internal transcribed spacer 2, and large subunit ribosomal RNA
Source: RNAcentral
AACCAUAGAAACCUGCGGAGUACCUGCGGAGGGAUCAUUAUAGUAUAUGGAAUCUCCAUUCUAUAAACCCACUCUGCGUAUCUUGUAACUGUUGCUUCCAUGGGACUUGGCUCCGCCACACCGGCUUCACGGCUGGUGAGCGCCCAUGGAAGGAGAAACAAAACUCUUCUUUGAAAUGUAGUCAGUCUGAACAAGUUUUUAUAAACGUUAAAACUUUCAGCAAUGGAUCUCAGAUCGGAA